RNAcentral lists this unclassified non-coding RNA (2330 nucleotides) under Leishmania donovani. RNAcentral's name for it is "gene:LdHU3.35.7000(CDS-product:WD_domain_G-beta_r epeat_putative)". Lineage: Eukaryota; Euglenozoa; Kinetoplastea; Trypanosomatida; Trypanosomatidae. The record is from RNAcentral.
UCCUUUCCGAUCAUUGCCAUCACAGUUGCUUUCAGACCGCCGCGUGUGUGCUGCCGCGAGCAAGCGCCGCUGCGUUUUCAUACAGGGCUGCCUGCACCUCACCCCUUCCCACUCCUCUCCCCCCCUCCCCAUUUCUCUUUAUACAGUACGUCUGCCAUACAUGCAAACUUCUCUUCGCUUGCAUAAACAGUUUUGCUCACACGCACACCACCAAUUACUGUUCUCUUCUCCCCCGUUCUGCCGGCGUCGCCAGCCCCCGCCUCCCCCACCUCGCCGUUCUCGUUCAUACGUGCGCGUGUCCUUGUGCUUUGUUUGCUUUCCUGCGCCUGCCCUCCGUUCCUCUACUGCUUCCUCCGUCUCACUCGUCGAUUCACGUAUUGGCUACCACCCUGCACUGACUUGUCUUACGGGUCGCCGCAGCGCUGCCUCGUUUGAUCGGCGGCGAGCACCUUGGAACUGCUGUGUGUGUGUGUUUUCCUUCUUUCAUUCCUGUGCUUUGUGGAUCUCUUGCCACCCACACGAUGAUGGAGCACCCCGCCGCAGUGGAGGAGGGAGAGAAGAAAAACAGCAGCAGCAUCUCGUACGCAACCCCGUGGGUCGCCAACGGGCUGUCGUGGGCAAAUCAGCCCAACAAGCCCUUCCGCCUGGCCAUCUCGUCCUACACUAAGGACUAUCGCAACUACGUUGACAUUGUAGAGAAGAAUGAGGACAACGAGAUCGUCUGCCGUGCCUCCUGGGAGCACUGCUACCCUCCGACCAAGGUUUCCUUCCCGCCGCGCCCUCUGCAAUCCGAUGUUGUGAUCACCACCGCAGACUAUUUGCGUCUGUGGGAAAUCACCGAGGGUGGCCCAAAGGCAGAAAAGACAGCCUCCACCCGUGGUGACCCGCAGCACGCAGCGAAGGCCAAAACGAUCAACUCUAAGGUGACGAUGAAGCGCGUCUUCGACAGCGCAAAGCCGAACGACUUUUGCUCGCCAGUGACCUCGUGCGACUGGAACAGCGAAGACAUCAACACUGUGGCGUGCUGCAGCAUCGACUCCACGGUAACGCUGUGGGACGUGGAGACGGGGGCGCAAAAGACGAAGUUGGUGGCGCACGACAAAGAUGUCUAUGACAUUGCCUUUGCCUCUGCUCACACCUUUGCCAGCUGCGGCGCUGACGGCUCUGUGCGCUUCUUUGAUCUGCGUAACAUGGAUCACUGUACUAUUCUCUACGAGACGCAAGGGCUCUCUCCGCUGCUGCGCCUGGCCUGGAAUCAGUUUGACCCCUACUUCAUCGCCACCUUCGGCAUUGAUAGUCCUGACGCAGUAGUGAUUGACAUGCGCUAUCCCACGGUGCCGGCCUCCCAGCUCUCCCAGCUGCAUCAACUGCCCAUUAACAAUCUCACAUGGUCGCCACAAAACGCGCAGAACAUCUGCACGGUGGGCGAGGAUGGUCUGGUGUGUGUGUGGGAGGCUAGGGCGGAAAAAGGUCGCUCCAUCUUAUGGUGCGACUGCGAGGUGCCCAUCAACAAUGUGGCGUGGCGCCGUGCCCAAAACGAAGACUGGAUGGCCAUUACCACCUCGAAGGGCGCUCAGCUGCUGCCGUUGUAGUUGACCACGCGCCGCUUCCGAGUGAUGCGGUUUUACAGUUGUAAAUGCAUAGAGCGAGAAAGGGACAGGUGUGCCGCACCUCUCGGCGAUGACAGCCGCCUCUCGGCUGCGCGUCCGCGUUCUCUUUCAGUAUCACUGUCAACGCUGUGUACGUAUGCUAUAUUGUUGUCUUUUUUUUUCUUGGGUCUCUGCUCGUUAUGCAACGAAGAGCCACUCUCUCUCCCUCUUGAGGCGUCAGCUUCUGCCUCUUCUCCGCUGCACUCGAAUGUACGUGGCAAUGGCGUGCGCUGCGUCAGUGUAAGUUCCUUGCCUGCGUAGUUAUCUCUUUUUAUAAAUGAUGUGUAUGAGUAUGCGUGUGCGUGCGCGUUUACUUUCUCUUCUAUGCGGCUACAAACGCACGCUGUUGUGUGAGCGAGAGCUAGAGUGGAAAAGGGGAGGUGUUACCGUUGCAGCUUGGGCACUCUUUGGGGUGCAACACUCAUUCAGCUUUUUGGCAACACGAUUAGCUAAAACACCAUCGUGCAGGACAACUUCGAGAAAGCAUAGUGCAGCCGACAAGCAUGUUGUGGUGGAAAGGCAGGGCAGAGCCGCACAACGGCUGUAGCUUUACAAACGGCACCACAACCCCUGUGAUGAGACUUACAAACCCAACAAAAAAAUGCGUCACCUUUCCCGCCCUCCUUUCGCUUUUUAUUUUGGUUACUGAUGUUAUGGUGAGACGCUCCCCCGUCCCCCCCC